Molecule: long non-coding RNA, 1379 nt
Filed under: Anas platyrhynchos platyrhynchos (common mallard)
Lineage: Eukaryota; Metazoa; Chordata; Aves; Anseriformes; Anatidae
Description: lncRNA (ENSAPLG00000023049.1)
Source: RNAcentral
AAGAUAUUCAGCAUAGUGCACGCCUAUGCUGGCAUAAUGGAAAAAUAAUCAAAGCAAUAAAAAUUCAGAUUAAAAAAAAUGUUUACACAGCCAAUAGUGAAAAUAAUAUUUUUAAGCCUGAAUGCUAACUCAACAAGAAGGCUUCUACUCAAUCACCUGAUGCUCCUAAGGAAAUUUAGGUCUCAUCAUACUAUAGUGAUAUAUACCAUAUAUAUACCAUAUAAAAAUAGAAAAUAGGGCUGUAAAUAGACCUUUGGAGGUCAAGUUGUCCGCUGCUUUGCCUGAAGGCAGGAUCAAUGAUUCCUCACAGAUGUUUGUCUAAACCAGUCUCCAUGAAAUGAGUACUAGCAACUUUUUUUAUCUCAUCAGUUCUUAACUCUAGCAAUUGCCUGGAAGUCAAUAAGAUGACUACUCGUGUCUAGCCCAAGCUCCUUUCAUCACUAUGUGUUUUCUCAUGUGUUUCCUUAAUAUGAAUGUGACAUUUGCCUCCUUCCAGCAGUGGCAUUUAAGCUUAGGAACUAUGACUCCUCACUUUACUAAUCAGUAAAUAAAAAUCUUAUUGUAGGUGCUAAGGAAUGCAUAAACACUCUAGCUAUAGGAGAAAAGGACAUUCAGAUGUAGGGAAGGUUAUGAUCUUAUGUCAGUGUGCUCCAAAACCACCUGAGUACCUGAGGCAAACAAUUGAAUAUUUGGUCAAACUACUGCCAUAUUCUUCCUUCAAGUCACUAUGCUAUGAAGAGGCAUGCACCGUGCAUAGAACAGAGCCAUCUGUACCCUUUCAGAUUGAACUGACAGCUGUGAAACAAGGAUGUCACAUUCCACCAAGUGGCUAUUCCACCAAAUGGAAUAGCCAGUCAGACAUUCACCAGAGUGCUGUAAUAGGAUCCCAAAGUUGUUUGUAAGCCAGAAGGAUACCAGUGUGAUUCUGCAAGAGGGCAAGAUCAGCUGUGGGCACAAUUUAGAAAUGGCAUUGGAGUGGUAGGAGUUGAGAAAGGUUGUACUCCUUUGUCCUGUAAUCUAUGAUGUGACAUAUGGAAUGCCAAGAAUAGACUGUCUGCAGUCCACUUUGUAAAUCUGGUUCAUAGGCACAAAUUUUCUCUGAGUUGGGAAGGAAUCUUGGAAAGGAUCACUUCUACAGUUCCAUCAUUGAAUUCAUCAUCAUUGUCCCAGAGAAGCAGCGAUCAGUGAGAUGUGGCUCAUGGGCUAGGCAUUGGCAAGUUUGCUUUUGGUAGAAGAUCGACUAGUGUGUGUGUGUGUUACGGUUACACUUUGUAAAUAAUUACAGAUAUGAUAAGUUUUAUAUAGAUUAUAAAAAUGAUCUAUUGUAUUCACAUUUUAUGAAGAAUAAAAAAGAUGUAUGAAGAUUUUUUUUUUUAUGC